Molecule: ribosomal RNA, 430 nt
Filed under: uncultured bacterium
Lineage: Bacteria
Description: bacterial SSU rRNA
Rfam family: Bacterial small subunit ribosomal RNA
Source: RNAcentral
GUGGGGAAUAUUGCGCAAUGGGCGAAAGCCUGACGCAGCGACGCCGCGUGAGGGACGACGGCCUUCGGGUUGUAAACCUCUUUCAGCAGGGACGAAGCGAAAGUGACGGUACCUGCAGAAGAAGCACCGGCCAACUACGUGCCAGCAGCCGCGGUAAUACGUAGGGUGCAAGCGUUGUCCGGAAUUAUUGGGCGUAAAGAGCUCGUAGGCGGUUUGUCACGUCGGAUGUGAAAACUCGGGGCUCAACCCCGAGCCUGCAUACGAUACGGGCAGACUUGAGUUCGGCAGGGGAGACUGGAAUUCCUGGUGUAGCGGUGAAAUGCGCAGAUAUCAGGAGGAACACCGGUGGCGAAGGCGGGUCUCUGGGCCGAUACUGACGCUGAGGAGCGAAAGCGUGGGGAGCGAACAGGAUUAGAAACCCGAGUAGUCC